Molecule: ribosomal RNA, 206 nt
Filed under: uncultured bacterium
Lineage: Bacteria
Description: partial 16S ribosomal RNA
Rfam family: Bacterial small subunit ribosomal RNA
Source: RNAcentral
UGCGUAGGCGGGUUUCUAAGUCGGAGGUGAAAGCCUGGAGCUCAACUCCAGAACUGCCUUUGAUACUGGAAGUCUUGAGUAUGGCAGAGGUGAGUGGAACUGCGAGUGUAGAGGUGAAAUUCGUAGAUAUUCGCAAGAACACCAGUGGCGAAGGCGGCUCACUGGGCCAUUACUGACGCUGAGGCACGAAAGCUGGGGAGCAAACA